UACGGAGGGUGCAAGCGUUAUCCGGAUUCACUGGGUUUAAAGGGUGUGUAGGCGGGCUUGUAAGUCAGGGGUGAAAUCCUACAGCUUAACUGUAGAACUGCCUUUGAUACUAUAAGUCUUGAAUAUUGUUGAGGUGGGCGGAAUACAUCAUGUAGCGGUGAAAUGCUUAGAUAUGAUGUAGAACACCGAUUGCGAAGGCAGCUCACUAAGCAAAUAUUGACGCUGAGGCACGAAAGCGUGGGGAUCAAAC
RNAcentral lists this ribosomal RNA (250 nucleotides) under uncultured bacterium. RNAcentral's name for it is "partial 16S ribosomal RNA". It matches the Rfam family "Bacterial small subunit ribosomal RNA", at positions 524 to 773 of the family's 1533-position model. The record is from RNAcentral.